This is a long non-coding RNA of Equus caballus (horse), 4581 nucleotides long. NCBI's taxonomy places the organism in Eukaryota, Metazoa, Chordata, Mammalia, Perissodactyla, Equidae. The record is from Ensembl.
GGGAGAGGCAGCUGGCCGCCAGAACCCACCUUCCUUUCCAGCCCCUGAAGACCUCCUGGGAGAGGCCACUCUCGGGGGCCAGGCUCAGGAGGGGAGGUGGCUCUCCUUCACCCCCAUUGCCCAGCACACCGUUCGUGGAGGGUUACUCAGAGGCCAGGAGAAGUUAGGCGAACACUGUGGGCUUAACACCAUGCCCCAUCUAGUCAGCACUUCACAGCCCACGAGAUGCCAUUCAGUCUGGUCACGGAACCACCCUGCUUUGUGGACCAGCAGUCACUUGGUGGUUAGGAAUGUGAAUCAUGAGUUAAGAUCCCGUGUGACCUCUGUGCCUCAGUUUCCCAACCUGUGAAGUGGGGGUAAGAGUAGCACUCACACAGGGUUAUUGUGCAGAUUAAGAAAAUAACCAUGCAAACACCUAGCAUAGCAGCUGGCAGAGAGCAAGCGCUCAAUGAAUGUUCCUAUUGGGUUUAUCUACGAGAACCUUAGAGGAGGGGCCGCGUGGCCCUGGUUCUGAAGCGCUUUCCUUGCCUCCUCCUUCCUGUUAUGUGCUUUCCUGCUGACAAUCCUGUGUCUCUCCUCGCCUUCCCUUUCAAACCAAAUGCUUGGCGGUGCUUUUCCUAGCCAUGCCUUUGGCAGUCCGGAGCAAUGGAAACACACUUGGCUCCCCGUUCCAGCUGGUCUCCUGGGCCACCUCAGAGAGAUGUCCCUUUUGGCCAUGGGACUAACUGCACUGUGGACAGUGCUCCUGCAAGCUUCUUGUGGGGCUUCCAGUGCCCCCAGAAUUUUCUGAACGCCUCUACGGGCCAGGCAGAUGAAGUAUGAAUGGCCCAUUUUACAGAUGAAGAAAUUGAGGCCCACAGACAUUAAGACACUUGCUCAGGGUUGUGCAGACACACAGUGACAGAACCCAAACUAGGUCUGCAUCUUUUGACUUCAAGCCUUGUAUCCUUUCCAUUCUGUGACACAAUUUUGUCUCUCUCUCAAGUAGAUGAUUCUUAGAUGGUCUAGAAAAUCUUAGCAGAUGUCAGUUGUAAGUGCAGUCUCCAUUUGUAAGUAUUUGCUGUGGUCCUGCUCUGUGCCAGGCGUUGUGCUUAGUUCUGGGCACACAAAGACGACCGAGAUGUGUUUCCUGCCUUCCUAACAGAGCUGCACAGAGCCGAGCAGCUGCCUGUUCCCGUCCACUCACCGUCCACCUCCCACAUCCCUGCACUCCCGCUGGCCCGGGCCCUGCCCAGAACCCAGCUUGCAGUGACAGUGAUAACCCACUGCUUGUGUGCCGACCACAUAUGUGCUUUAUUUACACGAUCUCAUUUGAUUCUCACACUAGCACUGAAAUAGAGAUUAUUAACCCAUUUUACAGAUGAAACUGAAGCCAAGUGAGGGGGAGGUUUUCCCAACUAGAAAGUGGUUGUCACCAGGUCUGACUACAAAUUCUGGCUCUUCCCAGUGUCCCUUACUGCCCCUCUGUGGGCCCUGGCAUCCCAGAACCUCUACCAGGGCUGGGGCUCAGCUCCGGAGGCACAAGUCAGACCACAGCUACACACUGCGCUGUGGGCCCACCUGCAGCCUCACGUCCUGUGCCAGGGGCACAUGCCCAAUUGGACAUGCUGGUACCAGCCUUGCCCCAAUGGUUCCUGGGCUUGCUGUGCCCACUGAGCAGUGUUCUGCAGAUGGUCUCUUGCCACAUCUACACCAUCCUCAGUGGCAAAGCCAGUGUCCCCUGCUCUCCAGGCAGUUUCCUCCUCUGCCGCUCCCCGUGUGGUGGCACAUGGCACCAGCAGCCCCAGCCUGACAUUUCCCCACUCAGCAACCACAGCAGAAGGAAGCCCCUCAUUCCCCAGAGUGCCAGCGAUGCCCCUACGUGACUGCUCAUUGCCCCUGAUUGGCCCAACCUGGGUACCAAGCCAGCCCGACCUAUUCGCUGUGCUCUCAUGGGUCAGAUCAGAGUCACAUGCCCACCCCUGGAAAAGGGAUUUGCAGCAUCUCAACCGCAUGGACUGAACGUGGAUAGGGGGCGGCUUCCCAGAGGAGAACGGAGGCCCUGUUACCUGAAGCAGAGGGAAAGGAUGCCCGGCAGGCAAAACCUGCAGGCGCGCUCCACAAAUGAGAGCAUGUCUUCCUGAGACUAGGGAAUGAGACAGAUUUCAAUUGGCGUUGGCAUUCAUUUAAUGUUCACUCCAUGCUACCGAAAUGCAGAGAUAGUUAAGGCACAGAUCCUCGCAAGGCAGAAUGAAGGGUAAGGUGAAAUAGGAAAUGAGCGGUUGUACCUGGAAUGACUCAUUUUUACUGAGUGAGGGUUGCAAUUUUGGCGGUCUUCAUGGAGGAGGUGGCAUUUGAAUUGGACCUGAGUGCGUUUGAGGCCUUGAAGAGUGGCCUCGGCUGCUCAUGACUCCUCCCAACAAAGAAUUUUUGUCCGGCUUCAAGAAGAUGUCCUUGAACGGGAAUAAGCAGUUCCCUCAGCACGUCCUCCCUCCCGUCCCUUGAAAGCGUGAUUUGCCCCAGAUUGCUCUUGCUCAAGCUUCCUAAUCUUUAUUCUGUUUCUAAAUGGGGCAGUCUACUGGGAGCCCCAGACCCCUUCCAAGCGCUCCAUCUGUAUUUAAUCAAUCCCUUCUCUGAAAUCCAAUCUGUCAUAAAUUCCGGCCUCACGAUAAAUGCGCCCUGAGGUCUGCAGGGAGGGGCGUUCAUAGUGAAUGAGAACCAGAAUCGCUGCCCAAACUGUUGAAUUGAGCACAGUGGGAAUCGGGGGGAGGCACCUGCAAGAGGGGCGGACAGCGGAGCCAAGGCAGCCGCUGUGCGGGGGGGCGGCGGGACCCCACACGCCCUGGGCCUGAGCCUGCGCCCUCGGGGCAAGCCAGGCAUUGUCCUCGGCCUGGCUUCCUCGCCUUCAUUAGCUCUUGGUAAUGGAUUUUAUAUCUGCUCAGUGUGACGGAGGAGUCUUGGCAAUCCUGGAAGACCUGCAGGAUCUCCUCCCAGCCCUCCAGUGUGAAGCCAGCAGCUUCGUCAGCCACGUAGGUGGCUCUCCAGCCAACGUUUACUUUAGUGUCAAAAAGAAAUCCCAGCUUUAGACGUGAACAAGCCCCAGAUUCCCCACACUGACGUCGGGGCCUGCUUCCCGUCUGCACAGAGGGAUGGACUGAAAUAGGAGUUCCUGCUAUUUUAAAGGGUCAAGAUCCCUUUAAAAAUCUGGAAAAAGCUGUGGACUCUUUCCCCAGAAAACACACACACACGUACACACAUAUAUACACACAUGUAUACACGUACACACGUACACAUGUACACUUGCUGUUUCACGUCCAGUUUCAGGGGCUCACAACCCCUAGUUCCAGGGGGUCCUGGACGCCAAAAUAAGGCACUCUGCCCUGAGUGACCCUGGGCCGGCCCCUCCCCUGCAGCACCCCUGAGGUUGUCUAUGGACAGAGCAGUGUCCCCACCACCUGGCAUUUCCAGUCUCUUACUCCAAGGUGGACAAAGGAGGAGUUCUCACCCUUUUCUGCAGAUGAGAACCGAAGCCCAGGGCAGGGCCGAUCUCACAGGAAGUCCGGAGUGAGUCUGGCUCUGGACCCAGGCUCUUCUCCUCCCCAGCCUGGAGCCCGUUCCCUCCAUCCCUGCUUCCUCCUAGCUUUUUAGGUCAUGCUCCCUUUUGACAAGUGAAAAAACCUCAUUUCCCCCACCUCCGAAAUAUCGAAUAACACACUGUGGGGAGGGGAGCGGGAGUCUGUCUCCCCACUUGGGGUCACUGUAUCAUAGGCCGACAAGGCUUUUGUUAAGUUUUACUUUCUCUGGCUUGAAAUAUAAUUUGAACUCUGAAAAUCAUAGUUGUUCUUAUGUCCCAAAUAUGAAAUAUCAUAAUGUUGAAACGUUUGAAACCAUACAGCCUGCAGCAGCCCCACCUAAAAAGCACUGUGGGAGGGCUGACAGCCUCUUCAUAUAUUGGCGUGGUCCACCUAGCCCCUUCCGGAAGUUUCCUGCAGAGGAUGCACAAGGACCCUCAGGCACGGAGUGCCAAGCACAGAUGACUCUAGGGAGUGCCUCGCUCACACACCCCUAAACAGCAGACUUUCCUGGAGGUUUCUGGAAACUUUACCUUUGGCAAGGCUUCAGGAGUGAGCCUGGGGGGUUCUGGGACACGUGAGAUGACACAGCCCGCAAUGUCUAAGUAAUUUGGAAUUCACGAUGCAGGCCUCCUGGCGAUCCUCCAGCCCUCAGAAGUACAGGACACUCCCAGUGCCCUUGGAAGACAGUCGUGUGGAUGCAGGAGCCCACCUCCUGCGGUACGAUUCUCAGAGGCCCUUGCCCACCCCUGGGAGCCGGGGCGUGUCACAUGUUCCAUGCUUGGCCAGACAGGCCUGGCUUGAAUGGAUGGUGUGAAGAUAAGGUUCCUUUAGAGCCCAUUCCCGUGGUGGAGAGAGUGGCCAUCAGGCCAGAGUCGUUCCAGGACAAGCUGGCGUCCGUGCUUUAUGGUUCUUGGCCUUCUCGAGCUGCCUCAGUGCCUGUCUGCUCUCCAAUCCUGUCCUUGCAGCCUCCUUUGAAUCUCUGGGGUCCUGGUAGCCUGCCAAUAAAUUCCCUUUGUGUUUAAGAGAA